GCCCGGGUGGUGGAAUUGGUAGACACGCCGGACUUAAAAUCCUGUGGCCGUAGGCCGUACCGGUUCGAUCCCGGUUCCGGGUA
This 83-nucleotide transfer RNA is filed under the name Bacteroidia bacterium. Its description in RNAcentral is "tRNA-Leu". It matches the Rfam family "tRNA". Rfam says of the family: Transfer RNA (tRNA) molecules are approximately 80 nucleotides in length. Their secondary structure includes four short double-helical elements and three loops (D, anti-codon, and T loops). Further hydrogen bonds mediate the characteristic L-shaped molecular structure. tRNAs have two regions of fundamental functional importance: the anti-codon, which is responsible for specific mRNA codon recognition, and the 3' end, to which the tRNAs corresponding amino acid is attached (by aminoacyl-tRNA synthetases). tRNAs cope with the degeneracy of the genetic code in two manners: having more than one tRNA (with a specific anti-codon) for a particular amino acid; and 'wobble' base-pairing, i.e. permitting non-standard base-pairing at the 3rd anti-codon position. Lineage: Bacteria; Pseudomonadati; Bacteroidota; Bacteroidia. The record is from RNAcentral.